Molecule: ribosomal RNA, 465 nt
Filed under: Vreelandella stevensii
Lineage: Bacteria; Pseudomonadati; Pseudomonadota; Gammaproteobacteria; Oceanospirillales; Halomonadaceae
Description: partial 16S ribosomal RNA
Rfam family: Bacterial small subunit ribosomal RNA
Source: RNAcentral
CCUGCGGGAGGCUGCAGUGGGGAAUAUUGGACAAUGGGGGCAACCCUGAUCCAGCCAUGCCGCGUGUGUGAAGAAGGCCCUCGGGUUGUAAAGCACUUUCAGUGAGGAAGAACGCCUGGUGGUUAAUACCCAUCAGGAAAGACAUCACUCACAGAAGAAGCACCGGCUAACUCCGUGCCAGCAGCCGCGGUAAUACGGAGGGUGCGAGCGUUAAUCGGAAUUACUGGGCGUAAAGCGCGCGUAGGUGGCUUGAUAAGCCGGUUGUGAAAGCCCCGGGCUCAACCUGGGAACGGCAUCCGGAACUGUCAAGCUAGAGUGCAGGAGAGGAAGGUAGAAUUCCCGGUGUAGCGGUGAAAUGCGUAGAGAUCGGGAGGAAUACCAGUGGCGAAGGCGGCCUUCUGGACUGACACUGACGCUGAGGUGCGAAAGCGUGGGUAGCAAACAGGAUUAGAUACCCCAGUAGUC